Molecule: long non-coding RNA, 635 nt
Filed under: Crocodylus porosus (Australian saltwater crocodile)
Lineage: Eukaryota; Metazoa; Chordata; Crocodylia; Crocodylidae
Description: lncRNA (ENSCPRG00005003936.1)
Source: RNAcentral
CGGGGACCCGCGGAGCGGCUGGGGUGGAAGUGCUGCUUCGGCGGCGUCGGGACCCGCCGGCGGGCGGCUGUGAGCAAGCCAGUUACUCCGCGUCGUGCGCAGCCUCCGACUGAGAGGCAGCUUUGGCCUGAGGUACAUCUCCCAUACGUGUGUGAACCGCAGGCUCCAGCCGUGAGACCAUCAACUCCUUUGACUUUCCCUCCAGAGAAGAGGUCUUCUUCCAGCACGUUUGAUCUAGGCUCGAUGCCAUUUGGAUAACCAGGCCACUGCUUCUCUACUUGGUUGCAAAGUUUUGAGGAUCUAAGCUCAGGCACCUCGCAUGGCAGCUUCGGAAACAUGCUUCUAUUUGUUUGGGUGUGCCGAGGUUUUUGGUGCGCUCAUUAAACCUGCUGAGGUGGAUGCAGGUUGCAAGACCAUGAGCCGUACUUCCAGGAUAGGGCCUUGCUGGGACAUGAUGCUCUACAUCUCUCUCCAAAAGGUAGAUAGGAUGGAAAUGGAUUGAACCAGCCUCUGUCGGUAUGCUUUGAGCUGAUGAGUCAGGUUUUCUACCUAAGUAAGGUAACAGAUUUUGUGUAUUUGGGUGGUGUAUUUCUUUGUUUUGAAAGCACCUGAUGCCUUUGCAUGGUAUAAAAUAC